This 758-nucleotide ribosomal RNA is filed under the name Microbacterium sp. RNAcentral's name for it is "bacterial SSU rRNA". It matches the Rfam family "Bacterial small subunit ribosomal RNA", at positions 94 to 864 of the family's 1533-position model. The record is from RNAcentral. Lineage: Bacteria; Bacillati; Actinomycetota; Actinomycetes; Micrococcales; Microbacteriaceae.
AGUGGCGAACGGGUGAGUAACACGUGAGCAACCUGCCCCUGACUCUGGGAUAAGCGCUGGAAACGGCGUCUAAUACUGGAUAUGUGACGUGACCGCAUGGUCUGCGUCUGGAAAGAAUUUCGGUUAGGGAUGGGCUCGCGGCCUAUCAGCUUGUUGGUGAGGUAAUGGCUCACCAAGGCGUCGACGGGUAGCCGGCCUGAGAGGGUGACCGGCCACACUGGGACUGAGACACGGCCCAGACUCCUACGGGAGGCAGCAGUGGGGAAUAUUGCACAAUGGGCGCAAGCCUGAUGCAGCAACGCCGCGUGAGGGAUGACGGCCUUCGGGUUGUAAACCUCUUUUAGCAGGGAAGAAGCGAAAGUGACGGUACCUGCAGAAAAAGCGCCGGCUAACUACGUGCCAGCAGCCGCGGUAAUACGUAGGGCGCAAGCGUUAUCCGGAAUUAUUGGGCGUAAAGAGCUCGUAGGCGGUUUGUCGCGUCUGCUGUGAAAUCCGGAGGCUCAACCUCCGGCCUGCAGUGGGUACGGGCAGACUAGAGUGCGGUAGGGGAGAUUGGAAUUCCUGGUGUAGCGGUGGAAUGCGCAGAUAUCAGGAGGAACACCGAUGGCGAAGGCAGAUCUCUGGGCCGUAACUGACGCUGAGGAGCGAAAGGGUGGGGAGCAAACAGGCUUAGAUACCCUGGUAGUCCACCCCGUAAACGUUGGGAACUAGUUGUGGGGUCCAUUCCACGGAUUCCGUGACGCAGCUAACGCAUUAAG